This 88-nucleotide transfer RNA is filed under the name Acidobacteriota bacterium. RNAcentral describes it as "Acidobacteria bacterium (activated sludge metagenome) tRNA-Tyr". It matches the Rfam family "tRNA". From Rfam's summary of the family: Transfer RNA (tRNA) molecules are approximately 80 nucleotides in length. Their secondary structure includes four short double-helical elements and three loops (D, anti-codon, and T loops). The record is from RNAcentral. RNAcentral also lists the same sequence under 3 other names. Lineage: Bacteria; Pseudomonadati; Acidobacteriota.
GCAAGGGUGGUCGAGUGGUUAAUGGCACCGGGCUGUAAACCCGGCCGGCGAAAGUCGUACGUAGGUUCGAAUCCUACCCCUUGCACCA